CAAUAGCGUAUAUUAAAGUUGUUGCAGUUAAAAAGUUCGUAGUUGGACCUUGGACCUGGACAGGCGGUCCGCCUCACGGCGUGUACUGUCUUGCUGGGUCUUUCCUCUUGGUGAUCUGUUGUUUCGGCAGCAGAGAACCAGGACUUUUACUUUGAAAAAAUUAGAGUGUUCAAAGCAGGCUCGACGCCGGAAUAUAUUAGCAUGGAAUAAUAAAAUAGGACGUGCGGUUCUAUUUUGUUGGUUUUUGGAAUCGCCGUAAUGAUUAAUAGGGACAGUCGGGGGCAUUAGUACUCACAUGCUAGAGGUGAAAUUCUUGGAUUUUGUGAAGACUAACUUCUGCGAAAGCAUUUGCCAAGGAUGUUUUCAUUAA
Molecule: ribosomal RNA, 370 nt
Filed under: uncultured eukaryote
Lineage: Eukaryota
Description: partial 18S ribosomal RNA
Rfam family: Eukaryotic small subunit ribosomal RNA
Source: RNAcentral